This 889-nucleotide long non-coding RNA is filed under the name Gossypium raimondii (Peruvian cotton). RNAcentral's name for it is "long non-coding RNA (GRAI_LNC010802)". Lineage: Eukaryota; Viridiplantae; Streptophyta; Magnoliopsida; Malvales; Malvaceae. The record is from RNAcentral.
UGUGGUCAUUUAAAUUUUUUAAAUCAUAUAAUUAUUCUAAUAUAGUUGUGUAUGUCCAAAUAUACAACUUAUUGUUGUUCAGACCCAUUUUGACCUAACCCAUUACAACCCAUAACCCAAACAAAAACAAAACCUACCCAGGCCCAACUAAGCCUAACCCACCAAAACCAAAGCCCAAAUCAGCAACCCAAUUCAGCCCAAUCUACCUAACCCUAGCCAAUUUGCAGAAAAAAAAAACAGCAGCCACCCUAGGUGCGCCGCACCUAGGGCCUUCGUCCACCUACCCCCUGCCACCGCCUCUGACCAGCGCUGCACCUGCUUUCUGCCAUUGCCCAACUGCACCUUCAAGAAGAGAAACCAACACGCAACAACAAACAGUAGACAUAGAUAAAAAAAAUGUUAAAAAUCGACUAUAAAAGCCGAAACCAAAGGAAUGUAAGGGGGUCGGCCCCUCUUUGACGAUUAAAAGAAAUAAAAGUGUUUUGAAAAUCUUAAAGGUGACUACUACCCUUUUUAGAUCUGUUUUUUUGUUCUUUUAAAUAUCAUUUUUGUUUUUAAAUACAAACAAAUUAAAAAUAAGAAUAAAGGAGAAGGCUUUUUACCUUACCUGCGCCGCGCCGGAGGUGGAGGAAGGCGAACGGUUUCGCCCUUUUUUCGGGUCUUCGGCCCUUGUUUCACGAGAUCCGGCCCCAGAUCCGUGCCUAGGAGACACUCGGCUUCGAACUAGGAUAAAAAAGAUCCGAUUUUGAGCCGUUGGCCACCGCACACGGCGGUGCUACGCCGGAGGCCGAGCCGGACGUUAGGCCAGAUUUGAGAGAGGGGAGGGAGCCUUCUCUGUUUGUUUUAAAAAAAAAGAAAAGGAAAAAAAUGAAAAAAGAAAAAGAAAAAA